UCAUGUCUCUGGAGCGCGAUGGAACCAACUCUUCCCAUUCCGAACAGAGUCUUGAAACGUCACAGCGCCGACAAUAGUUGGGGGUUCUCCCCCUGCGAAGAUAGGUCGAGGCAUGAA
RNAcentral lists this ribosomal RNA (117 nucleotides) under Pseudomonadales bacterium. The record is from RNAcentral. Lineage: Bacteria; Pseudomonadati; Pseudomonadota; Gammaproteobacteria; Pseudomonadales.